UAGGGAAUCUUCGGCAAUGGACGGAAGUCUGACCGAGCAACGCCGCGUGAGUGAAGAAGGUUUUCGGAUCGUAAAGCUCUGUUGUAAGAGAAGAACGAGUGUGAGAGUGGAAAGUUCACACUGUGACGGUAUCUUACCAGAAAGGGACGGCUAACUACGUGCCAGCAGCCGCGGUAAUACGUAGGUCCCGAGCGUUGUCCGGAUUUAUUGGGCGUAAAGCGAGCGCAGGCGGUUAGAUAAGUCUGAAGUUAAAGGCUGUGGCUUAACCAUAGUAGGCUUUGGAAACUGUUUAACUUGAGUGCAGGAGGGGAGAGUGGAAUUCCAUGUGUAGCGGUGAAAUGCGUAGAUAUACGGAGGAACACCGGCGGCGAAAGCGGCUCUCUGGCUUGUAACUGACGCUGAGGCUCGAAAGCGUGGGGAGCAAACAGGAUUAGAUACCCUGGUAGUCCACGCUGUAAACGAUGAGUGCUAGGUGUUAGACCCUUUCCGGGGUUUAGUGCCGUAGCUAACGCAUUAAGCACUCCGCCUGGGGAGUACGACCGCAAGGUUG
This 550-nucleotide ribosomal RNA is filed under the name uncultured bacterium. RNAcentral's name for it is "bacterial SSU rRNA". It matches the Rfam family "Bacterial small subunit ribosomal RNA", at positions 355 to 896 of the family's 1533-position model. The record is from RNAcentral.